UUGUUAAAGCUUAUCUACCUUAAAAGGUAACAAUGAUAAGCCAAACCCUAAAAAACCUUGAGACUGGUAUAUGGGUUACAAAAUAAUCAGCAGGAAACUACAUUCAGUUUAUACGAAAGUAGGAUCCUCAGAGACUAUACGUGAAACAUGUUUGAAAAAACUUGAAGAUAUAGUCCAAGUUCGGAACGUAAUAAUUUAUUUACGGGCCGGGCCAGAAGUCUCGGUAAUACGUAGGAGGCAAGCAUUAUCCGGAUUCAUUGGGCGUAAAGUGUGCGUAGGCGUCUUGUAAAGUUUCUAUUUAAAUGCCAAGGCUUACCCUUGGAUUUGGUAGAAAUACUCACAAGAUUGAGGAUUGAUCGGGGUGAUAGAACAGAUAGUGUAGCAGUGAAAUGCGUUGAUAUUAUCUGGAAUACCAAAAGCGAAGGCAGUCACCUGGGUUUUUCCUGACACUGAGGCACGAAAGCCAGGGGAGCGAAACAGAUUAGAUACCUGUGUAGUCCUGGCCGUAAACGAUGCUCGCUAGCUCUCGGUCGCAAAGCACAUAAGCGUUUGCUUGUGUUUUUUGCGAUCGGGGGUGUAAGCUAACGCGUUAAGCGAGCCGCCUGGGGAGUACGGCCGCAAGGCUAAAACUCAAAGGAAUUGACGGGGACCCGCACAACCUGUGGAGCGUGUGGUUCAAUUCGAGACGAAACGAAGGACCUCACCAGGGUUUGACAUGCAAUCGUUUAUUUUCCUGGAAACAGGGAGAAAUCCGCAAGGAUGAUUGCACAGGUGCUGCAUGGCUGUCGUCAGCUCGUGCCGUGAGGUGUUCCCUUAAGUGGGGAAACGAGCGCAACCCCCAUCCAAUGUUAAAUUAUUCAUUGGAAACUGACGCUAUUUAAGUAGCGAAGGAAGGAGGGGAAGACGUCAAGUCAGCACGGCCCUUAUACCCUGGGCCACACACACACUACAAUGGCGAAAAACAAUGAGCAGCAAGCCGGUAACGGCAAGCAAAUCUCUGAAAUUUCGCCUCAGUUCAGAUUGGGGUCUGCAACCCGACCCCAUGAAGCCGGAAUAGGUAGUAAUCGCGGAUCAGCAAGCCGCGGUGAAUACGUUCUCGGGUCUUGUACACACCGCCCGUCAAGGCAGCAAAGUCGGUAGCUAUCGAACCACCUCUUUUGGGGUGGGAGAUAGAGAUUGGCGAUGAAGCUUAAGUCGUAACAAGGUAUCCUUAGCCGAAGCUGAGGAUGGAUCACCUCCUUU
Molecule: ribosomal RNA, 1242 nt
Filed under: Patescibacteria group bacterium
Lineage: Bacteria
Description: bacterial SSU rRNA
Rfam family: Bacterial small subunit ribosomal RNA
Source: RNAcentral